UAGGGAAUCUUCGGCAAUGGACGAAAGUCUGACCGAGCAACGCCGCGUGAGUGAAGAAGGUUUUCGGAUCGUAAAACUCUGUUGUUAGAUAAGAACAAGGACGUUAGUAACUGAACGUCCCCUGACGGUAUCUAACCAGAAAGCCACGGCUAACUACGUGCCAGCAGCCGCGGUAAUACGUAGGUGGCAAGCGUUGUCCGGAUUUAUUGGGCGUAAAGCGAGCGCAGGCGGUUUCUUAAGUCUGAUGUGAAAGCCCCCGGCUCAACCGGGGAGGGUCAUUGUUAACUGGGAGACUUGAGUGCAGAAGAGGAGAGUGGAAUUCCAUGUGUAGCGGUGAAAUGCGUAGAUAUAUGGAGGAACACCAGUGGCGAAGGCGGCUCUCUGGUCUGUAACUGACGCUGAGGCUCGAAAGCGUGGGGAGCAAACAGG
Molecule: ribosomal RNA, 429 nt
Filed under: Gemmatimonadota bacterium
Lineage: Bacteria; Pseudomonadati; Gemmatimonadota
Description: Gemmatimonadetes bacterium partial 16S ribosomal RNA
Rfam family: Bacterial small subunit ribosomal RNA
Source: RNAcentral